Manis javanica (Malayan pangolin) is the source of this 1772-nucleotide non-coding RNA. NCBI's taxonomy places the organism in Eukaryota, Metazoa, Chordata, Mammalia, Pholidota, Manidae. The record is from RefSeq and is a predicted model, not a curated record.
UUUGGGGGCAUUUUGUGGGGUUUAAGCCAUAUGUUGAAGAGGCCCGGGCUCUAGAAGCAGAGGGGAGAAAGCGUGGCCGCUUUGGCUGGGACUCCGUGCCCUCCCUCUUCCCUGCCCCAAACCUGUGGGUAGUUACCCGCUCUUCCCAGGAGUGAACUAGUGUCUCAGUAGUCCCAACCAGCAUCAGGAGGAGCACGUGGGUUGCUGUGUUUGGGGUCGGACAUGGUUAAACACUAGAAAUUUCAUACGGACCAACUGCUUGCUCACUUCCGACAGAGGAAAACAAAAGGUGACUGUGCGCAUUCGAAGAAAGAGACGGCGAAGAGGCCGGGCCCGGCUGUCCAUGCGACUGUCUGUACGGCCGGCCAGGAGGCGAGUCCGGUAGCUGCUGAGGACAGCGGACUUCUGGGGAGAGGGGACAUUUGCAGAAGCCCGUCAUGCAGCCACACCCCCAGUGAGGCAGGAGCGGCUCAGGACAGUUGGGCCAGACCCUGUUGUCAGGGCUGGUCACAGCAGCAACCAAAGACCCUGCCCUCAGGGAGCUCCUUCCCUGUGGGGACAGGUCCCCAGCAUCCUGCUCUGGAAGGGAGAGCCUGUGUUUGCACGCAGUUAGAAGAAAACCACCUGCACCAAUUAGCAGAGUUGACGUCCUCCCUGGAAGUGCAGCAAGUGACAGAUGUCGAGGGGACCCAGGUGUCAGGUAGUGAGCAGCCUGUGGGGCUCUCGGAGGAGCCGGGCCCAGAGCUUGCAUAGGUGCCGCUCCAGAGUGCAUGGGACCCGGCCUCAGAGGUGCAGACAGAGGUGGCGGCCAGCGUCCUGGGUUUGGAAGCUGAGCACAGGGUUAAACUCUCACUUCUUGACACAGAGCUCAAGGAAGAAGUUGCCCAUCUACAGACAGAAAGUAGGAAUUUACACGGGAGGUUGCGGCGUGAAAUCUGCCUCAGAGGGAACUUGAGGGAAGUAAGUUGUGACCCCUCCCAGCAGGACAGCGCUGAGCUGCUUAGGCUCCGUGUGGAUGCGGCUUGUACCAGCCAUGGUUGGACAAGUCCACCGAGACCUGGCUGCCCAUCCCCUGCUGGCCCGUUGGGGUGUUGGCUUAUCACCUUCCUCAGACUCAGGACUGGACUCCACCCAAGCCAGGGCCUGAGUUUUGGUCUGGUUGCUCCUUCCACCUGCUGCCAGGGGUAAGGGACUGGCCUUGUGCCCUCCAGGGCUCCAGGAAGAGAGGCCACCUGCAGGGGUCCUGCUGACUAUGGGUCGUGCAGCCCAGUGGGUGCUGCGGUUGAGCGGCAAGGCCUCCAUGUGCCGACAGGGACUCCGUGAUGUGCUCUUUGCUCCGUCACCGGCGGUCCUGCCACUCCCAGCAUGGGGUGUGCAGCACUGUUCAGGGAAUAGAGUUGGCAGGCCUGGAACUCAGCUCUCGGACAUCCCCAGGAAGCUCUUCUUGGAUUUUCAUUCUCCAUCCAGUUUCCUUGGAAGCUGUUUCCUGCAAGCGGGGCCGAUCCUGUCUGUACAGCCAGCACCGGGUCACAGGUAAUGCAGACAGCUGAUUCUGUGGAAACCAAGACAUCACGCCCCAAGGUUCUGAGGAGGAGCUGGUGCAAGCUGCUACUUACAGGUCUGUGCUCGUGAACACCACCGCCUCCCCCAUGAUUUCCCCUUUCAAAGCCCUAACUGCUUGUGCCUCAGGAGGACAGUGACUCUAAGGCUUGAGCCUGCCCCCUCCCUCAUUUGCUGGCAAAGUAAUAAACAUUCCUUUCCUUUCCUGAAAA